UACUCGCCCAAAUGGACUGCGUUUGGCAGACACAGAGUGGGAGUGAUUGAGAGACAUGUUUGGAAACAAUCAUUAUUUGUGCGGUUGCAUGCAGUGCUGUUAUAGUACACAACCGACACACUCCUGCUUUAAAUAAACAUCUGCUUGUGUUUAAAUGCUUUUUGGUAUAUCUGGACGGCACAAGCGCUGUUGUGAGCGAUCUGUGCUCAGCAUUUCCUCCUGCGCAGCUGCAGUCUGUCGGUCUGCUCCUGGUUAGCACAGGCUCUCUGUGAUUUACCUGCUGUCUGUCUCUCUUUAAUGUCUUCCAUCUGUAUGACAACAGCCCUGAAACACACUCCAAAACAGAUCUGACUCCAAACAAGACGCGAGUGUCACGGGAGGCCAGGAACUCACCGUCCAGAUAUCAGGAAAGCUUGAGUCAUCAUGAGCAUGUUAGACGACAGACGAGACUGCGGAUGACAUUCAAACACCUGCUGUGCUCACCAGAAAAAAUAUGACCUUUGACCUUUGGGAAACAACAAUACAUGCAUGCUGGCCACCGAUCGGCUGUUUGCAAGGCAGGACAAGACUUUAUGAAGAGCUCCUACUGGGGCAAAAGCAUCCAACUCCACAGGCCCUUCACACUAAAUAAACUUAUAUGUUUGCACAAGAUGGCGCGCCACAGAGGAGCCAGUGGGGCGUGUUACCGCACUCGCUCGCCAGUCCCAGGGGCUUUACGGGCAAUGUGGACGUAAAGGUGACAGAGACAGACUUGUAAGAGGAUCCUGGUUGUAACUUUCUGAAACAUCGUCCAAAUCAAACGCUAGCGGGAUGCUCCGCUCUCUGCUUUCCUCUUUACGACCGCCUAUGAUCGCGCUGUGGCCUCCUGCUGGAAAUCACAGCUAAACCUUUGAACCCAGAGCGCUGCGUCCGAGAGCGUGUGUCGGAUCCAGCACUUCCCCUCCUUUACUUAACCUCUGACCCCUCCGAACCCUACAAGUCCUGCAGUUCUGAGGCCAAACGCGAGGAACAGGAAGUAUAGGGUUACACAUUAAAUAUGCGCAUGUCAUAAGUCAUAAAUCGGCUAGCGGCGUCGCUACUGAAAUGGCAUGUGGCACACAGUGUGGACUAAUAAAUUUUUAAAGCAUCGACUUCCAUCGGAAUGAUGGGGGAUGGAAGCUGAGGAACGUGAAGCGCAGGAUGGGGAACAGACAGCCAGUUGUGAAUCUUUGUAAUAUAACUAUUAGUCUCUUUCAGGCGGGAUGCCGUCGUGCGUCCAAAAAGCUUCGGGAGGCGUUAUGACAAAUGAUAUUUCCUUUGAUUCCUUCUCGAGCUUCUUAUUAAACCACGUCGACAUCAGCUGAUACGGGUCUCCACACAGACAGAACGUAAAUAAAGACAGCAGGAAUUGAAAAGGGUCACACGCAUGUUGUGUGUCAAGCAGAAGAAGGUACGUUCAUAUCUGCAGACUUUCUAAGUCAUUUUCACUUGUAGCAUCUCAGCUUUCUUCUUAAAGCCAA
Long non-coding RNA from Cyprinus carpio (common carp), 1499 nucleotides. RefSeq lists it as uncharacterized. Lineage: Eukaryota; Metazoa; Chordata; Actinopteri; Cypriniformes; Cyprinidae. The transcript is spliced from 4 exons. The record is from RefSeq and is a predicted model, not a curated record.